GUGCUCACUUCGGCAGCACAUAUUCUAAGAUUCGAACAAUACAGAGAAGAUUAGGAUGGCCCCUGCGCAAGGAUGACACGCAAAUUUGUGAAGCAUUUUAUAUUCAA
Small nuclear RNA from Myotis lucifugus (little brown bat), 107 nucleotides. Lineage: Eukaryota; Metazoa; Chordata; Mammalia; Chiroptera; Vespertilionidae. The record is from Ensembl.